CUGCCUCAGCCUCCUAAAGUGCUUGGAUCACAGAAAUGCAAGAGGCUCUCCUGAAGACUCUCAGAAUCCAGGGCAGAGUUGGGACAAGACUGCAUGUCAGUGGGAGGGAAGGCUCUGGCUUUUGCCCUCAUCCCCAUGCUGGUACCUCAGCAUCCGAGAAGAGCCCCUUGGUGCUGGACAUGAGCAGCUUCCGUUCCACGUUGUCCAGGGCGAAGGAUCCAGCACAAGGGACCCAUCAGAGUCCAGGGCACAGGUGACCCCACAGAAGAGAGCCCGCAUGGGUACACCUGCAUCCACCAGUGCUAUGCAGGCGGCAUUCAGACAACAGGCCAGGAGCUGAGCACCACGAGCAAUGUGAGCUGGUGUCUGUCAAGUGUUUGAAGGCUUUCUGGCUAGCAGAGAGGGCAUAUGUGGCCACCAGAAAAGAAGCAAGCAGGAGACUUCCUGGAGACAGCAGCCUGUGGGAAAGGAUACAGAGCCGGCAUCGCUGACAACCUGCAGCACCACGGUGAUGGAGGUGCGGGGGUGCAGUGUGCCCAGCACCGCCGCCUCGCACGUGUUCCUGAUCAGCCGCUCCCGGCUCUUCUCUGCAACGCCUGAGGAAAUUGAAGGGAGGUUGUCACAGUCUUCCCCUCCAUCUGGCUCACCUUACUCUGUAUGCUCCACCCAAACUCCCUGGAAAGGGCCCAUAGUCUCAGGCUGGGAUGGUGCAGGUACCUGCAGGGAUGAUGGAGGAUUCCAUUGGGAAGGAGGCAAGGCCUGCCUGCCAUUCACCGACCCCUCCUACCUCCGGCAUCCACCAAGGGAACUAUCCAGGGGAGGAAGACCUGAGAGUACCAUGUCUGUGAUGCUACCCACGCCCACUCCCACCCCAGCAGGCCCAGCCAGUGGGGACUGAGGGAUAUGAGGGUAAAAGGGUGAAAAGUAGGUUAAUGGGCCAGGCACAGUGGUUUACACCUGUAAUCCCAACACUUUGGGAG
Molecule: non-coding RNA, 980 nt
Organism: Saimiri boliviensis boliviensis (Bolivian squirrel monkey)
Lineage: Eukaryota; Metazoa; Chordata; Mammalia; Primates; Cebidae
Source: RefSeq, a predicted model, not a curated record